AAAUUGAAGAGUUUGAUCAUGGCUCAGAUUGAACGCUGGCGGCAGGCCUAACACAUGCAAGUCGAGCGGAAACGAGUUAUCAGAACCUUCGGGGAACGAUAAUGGCGUCGAGCGGCGGACGGGUGAGUAAUGCCUAGGAAAUUGCCCUGAUGUGGGGGAUAACCAUUGGAAACGAUGGCUAAUACCGCAUGAUGCCUUUGGGCCAAAGAGGGGGACCUUCGGGCCUCUCGCGUCAGGAUAUGCCUAGGUGGGAUUAGCUAGUUGGUGAGGUAAGGGCUCACCAAGGCGACGAUCCCUAGCUGGUCUGAGAGGAUGAUCAGCCACACUGGAACUGAGACACGGUCCAGACUCCUACGGGAGGCAGCAGUGGGGAAUAUUGCACAAUGGGCGCAAGCCUGAUGCAGCCAUGCCGCGUGUGUGAAGAAGGCCUUCGGGUUGUAAAGCACUUUCAGUCGUGAGGAAGGUAGUGUAGUUAAUAGCUGCAUUAUUUGACGUUAGCGACAGAAGAAGCACCGGCUAACUCCGUGCCAGCAGCCGCGGUAAUACGGAGGGUGCGAGCGUUAAUCGGAAUUACUGGGCGUAAAGCGCAUGCAGGUGGUUUGUUAAGUCAGAUGUGAAAGCCCGGGGCUCAACCUCGGAAUUGCAUUUGAAACUGGCAGACUAGAGUACUGUAGAGGGGGGUAGAAUUUCAGGUGUAGCGGUGAAAUGCGUAGAGAUCUGAAGGAAUACCGGUGGCGAAGGCGGCCCCCUGGACAGAUACUGACACUCAGAUGCGAAAGCGUGGGGAGCAAACAGGAUUAGAUACCCUGGUAGUCCACGCCGUAAACGAUGUCUACUUGGAGGUUGUGGCCUUGAGCCGUGGCUUUCGGAGCUAACGCGUUAAGUAGACCGCCUGGGGAGUACGGUCGCAAGAUUAAAACUCAAAUGAAUUGACGGGGGCCCGCACAAGCGGUGGAGCAUGUGGUUUAAUUCGAUGCAACGCGAAGAACCUUACCUACUCUUGACAUCCAGAGAACUUUCCAGAGAUGGAUUGGUGCCUUCGGGAACUCUGAGACAGGUGCUGCAUGGCUGUCGUCAGCUCGUGUUGUGUGAAAUGUUGGGUUAAGUCCCGCAACGAGCGCAACCCUUAUCCUUGUUUGCCAGCGAGUAAUGUCGGGAACUCCAGGGAGACUGCCGGUGAUAAACCGGAGGAAGGUGGGGACGACGUCAAGUCAUCAUGGCCCUUACGAGUAGGGCUACACACGUGCUACAAUGGCGCAUACAGAGGGCAGCCAACUUGCGAAAGUGAGCGAAUCCCAAAAAGUGCGUCGUAGUCCGGAUUGGAGUCUGCAACUCGACUCCAUGAAGUCGGAAUCGCUAGUAAUCGUGGAUCAGAAUGCCACGGUGAAUACGUUCCCGGGCCUUGUACACACCGCCCGUCACACCAUGGGAGUGGGCUGCAAAAGAAGUAGGUAGUUUAACCUUCGGGGGGACGCUUACCACUUUGUGGUUCAUGACUGGGGUGAAGUCGUAACAAGGUAGCGCUAGGGGAACCUGGCGCUGGAUCACCUCCUUA
This 1555-nucleotide ribosomal RNA is filed under the name Vibrio parahaemolyticus. RNAcentral's name for it is "bacterial SSU rRNA". It matches the Rfam family "Bacterial small subunit ribosomal RNA". Lineage: Bacteria; Pseudomonadati; Pseudomonadota; Gammaproteobacteria; Vibrionales; Vibrionaceae. The record is from RNAcentral.